CUAGGUGUGGGGCUCAUUCCACGAGUUCCGUGCCGCAGCUAACGCAUUAAGCGCCCCGCCUGGGGAGUACGGCCACAAGGCUAAAACUCAAAGGAAUUGACGGGGGCCCGCACAAGCGGCGGAGCAUGUUGCUUAAUUCGAUGCAACGCGAAGAACCUUACCUAGGCUUGACAUGCACGGAAAUCCUCCAGAGAUGGUGGGUCCGUAAGGGCCGUGCACAGGUGGUGCAUGGUUGUCGUCAGCUCGCGUCGUGAGAUGUUGGGUUAAGUCCCGCAACGAGCGCAACCCUCGUUCUAUGUUGCCAGCACGUCAUGGUGGGGACUCAUAGGAGACUGCCGGGGUCAACUCGGAGGAAGGUGGGGAUGACGUCAAAUCAUCAUGCCCCUUAUGUCUAGGGCUGCAAACAUGCUACAAUGGCCGGUACAAAGGGCUGCGAUACCGCGAGGUGGAGCGAAUCCCAAAAAGCCGGUCUCAGUUCGGAUUGGGGUCUGCAACUCGACCCCAUGAAGUUGGAGUCGCUAGUAAUCGCAGAUCAGCAACGCUGCGGUGAAUACGUUCCCGGGCCUUGUACACACCGCCC
Molecule: ribosomal RNA, 580 nt
Filed under: uncultured bacterium
Lineage: Bacteria
Description: bacterial SSU rRNA
Rfam family: Bacterial small subunit ribosomal RNA
Source: RNAcentral